RNAcentral lists this ribosomal RNA (497 nucleotides) under uncultured bacterium. RNAcentral describes it as "partial 16S ribosomal RNA". It matches the Rfam family "Bacterial small subunit ribosomal RNA", at positions 28 to 507 of the family's 1533-position model. The record is from RNAcentral.
GAUGAACGCUGGCGGCGUGCCUAAUACAUGCAAGUCGAGCGAACGGACGAGAAGCUUGCUUUUCUGAUGUUAGCGGCGGACGGGUGAGUAACACGUGGAUAACCUACCUAUAAGACUGGGAUAACUUCGGGAACCCGGAGCUAAUACCGGAUAAUAUUUUGAACCGCAUGGUUCAAAAGUGAAAGACGGUCUUGCUGUCACUUAUAGAUGGAUCCGCGCUGCAUUAGCUAGUUGGUAAGGUAACGGCUUACCAAGGCAACGAUGCAUAGCCGACCUGAGAGGGUGAUAGGCCACACUGGAACUGAGACACGGUCCAGACUACUAAGGGAGGCAGCAGUAGGGAAUCUUCCGCAAUGGGCGAAAGCCUGACGGAGCAACGCCGCGUGAGUGAUGAAGGUCUUCGGAUCGUAAAACUCUGUUAUUAGGGAAGAACAUAUGUGUAAGUAACUGUGCACAUCUUGACGGUACCUAAACAGAAAGCCACGGCUAACUACGUG